GCAAGUCGAGCGAACAGAUAAGGAGCUUGCUCCUUUGACGUUAGCGGCGGACGGGUGAGUAACACGUGGGUAACCUACCUAUAAGACUGGGAUAACUUCGGGAAACCGGAGCUAAUACCGGAUAACAUUUGGAACCGCAUGGUUCUAAAGUGAAAGAUGGUUUUGCUAUCACUUAUAGAUGGACCCGCGCCGUAUUAGCUAGUUGGUAAGGUAACGGCUUACCAAGGCGACGAUACGUAGCCGACCUGAGAGGGUGAUCGGCCACACUGGAACUGAGACACGGUCCAGACUCCUACGGGAGGCAGCAGUAGGGAAUCUUCCGCAAUGGGCGAAAGCCUGACGGAGCAACGCCGCGUGAGUGAUGAAGGGUUUCGGCUCGUAAAACUCUGUUAUUAGGGAAGAACAAACGUGUAAGUAACUGUGCACGUCUUGACGGUACCUAAUCAGAAAGCCACGGCUAACUACGUGCCAGCAGCCGCGGUAAUACGUAGGUGGCAAGCGUUAUCCGGAAUUAUUGGGCGUAAAGCGCGCGUAGGCGGUUUCUUAAGUCUGAUGUGAAAGCCCACGGCUCAACCGUGGAGGGUCAUUGGAAACUGGGAAACUUGAGUGCAGAAGAGGAAAGUGGAAUUCCAUGUGUAGCGGUGAAAUGCGCAGAGAUAUGGAGGAACACCAGUGGCGAAGGCGACUUUCUGGUCUGUAACUGACGCUGAUGUGCGAAAGCGUGGGGAUCAAACAGGAUUAGAUACCCUGGUAGUCCACGCCGUAAACGAUGAGUGCUAAGUGUUAGGGGGUUUCCGCCCCUUAGUGCUGCAGCUAACGCAUUAAGCACUCCGCCUGGGGAGUACGACCGCAAGGUUGAAACUCAAAGGAAUUGACGGGGACCCGCACAAGCGGUGGAGCAUGUGGUUUAAUUCGAAGCAACGCGAAGAACCUUACCAAAUCUUGACAUCCUUUGAAAACUCUAGAGAUAGAGCCUUCCCCUUCGGGGGACAAAGUGACAGGUGGUGCAUGGUUGUCGUCAGCUCGUGUCGUGAGAUGUUGGGUUAAGUCCCGCAACGAGCGCAACCCUUAAGCUUAGUUGCCAUCAUUAAGUUGGGCACUCUAGGUUGACUGCCGGUGACAAACCGGAGGAAGGUGGGGAUGACGUCAAAUCAUCAUGCCCCUUAUGAUUUGGGCUACACACGUGCUACAAUGGACAAUACAAAGGGCAGCUAAACCGCGAGGUCAUGCAAAUCCCAUAAAGUUGUUCUCAGUUCGGAUUGUAGUCUGCAACUCGACUACAUGAAGCUGGAAUCGCUAGUAAUCGUAGAUCAGCAUGCUACGGUGAAUACGUUCCCGGGUCUUGUACACACCGCCCGUCACACCACGAGAGUUUGUAACACCCGAAGCCGGUGGAGUAACCAUUUAUGGGAGCUAGCCGUCGAAGG
This is a ribosomal RNA of 1427 nucleotides. It matches the Rfam family "Bacterial small subunit ribosomal RNA".